This 791-nucleotide ribosomal RNA is filed under the name uncultured bacterium. Its description in RNAcentral is "bacterial SSU rRNA". It matches the Rfam family "Bacterial small subunit ribosomal RNA", at positions 8 to 789 of the family's 1533-position model. The record is from RNAcentral.
AGAGUUUGAUCCUGGCUCAGAUUGAACGCUGGCGGCAUGCCUUACACAUGCAAGUCGAACGGCAUCUUGAUCUCUCUUGCUACAUUGAUGGCGAGUGGCGAACGGGUGACCCAUACAUCCGAACGUGCCCUGGAGUGGGGGAUAACUAGUCGAAAGAUUACCUAAUACCGCAUACUACCUGAGGGUGAAAGUGGGGGACCGCAAGGCCUCAUGCUAUAGGAGCGGCCGAUGUCUGAUUAGCUUCCUGGUGGGGUAAAGGCCCACCAAGGCGACGAUCAAUAACUGGUUUGAGAGGACGAUCAGCCACACUGGGACUGAAACACGGCCCAGACUCCUACCGGAGGCCUGAUCGGGGAAUUUUGGAUGAUGGGGGCAACCCUGAUCCAUCAAUGCCUCGUGUGUGAAGAAGGCCUUCGGGUUGUAAAGCACUUUUGUCUCGAAAGAAAUCCCACUUACCAAUCUUAGGUGUGGAUGACGGUCCCGGAAUAAUAAGGACCGGCUAACUACGUGCCAGCAGCCGCGGCAAUACGUAGGGUCCAAGCGUUAAUCGGAAUUACUGGGCGUAAAGCGUGCGCGGUCGGUUGUGCAAGACCGAUGUGAAAUCCUCGGGCUCCACCUGUGAAUUUGAUUGUCGACUGCACGGCUAGAGUGUGUCAUAGGGGGGUAGACUUCUCGUGUAGCAUUGAAAUGCGUACAGAUGUGGAGGAAUACCGAUGGNNAUCGAUGCCCCUCUGGGAUAACACUGACUUUCAUGCACCUACCGUGGGGAGCAUACAGGAUUAGAUACCCUG